Transfer RNA from Selaginella moellendorffii, 74 nucleotides. It matches the Rfam family "tRNA". From Rfam's summary of the family: Transfer RNA (tRNA) molecules are approximately 80 nucleotides in length. Their secondary structure includes four short double-helical elements and three loops (D, anti-codon, and T loops). The record is from Rfam. Lineage: Eukaryota; Viridiplantae; Streptophyta; Lycopodiopsida; Selaginellales; Selaginellaceae.
GCUCUUUUAGCUCAGUUGGUCAGAGCACCCGUUUAGUAAGCGGGAGGUCCUGAGUUCGACUCUCAGAGAGAGCA